Molecule: ribosomal RNA, 292 nt
Filed under: uncultured bacterium
Lineage: Bacteria
Description: partial 16S ribosomal RNA
Source: RNAcentral
GGACUACCGGGGUAUCUAAUCCUGUUUGCUCCCCACGCUUUCGCGCCUCAGCGUCAGUUAAUGUCCAGCAGGCCGCCUUCGCCACUGGUGUUCCUCCGUAUAUCUACGCAUUUCACCGCUACACACGGAAUUCCGCCUGCCUCUCCAUCACUCAAGAUAAACAGUUUCCACCGCAGUUCCAGGGUUGAGCCCUGGAAUUUCACGGCAGACUUAUUCACCCGCCUACGCGCCCUUUACACCCAGUAAAUCCGGACAACGCUCGCCACCUACGUAUUACCGCGGCUGCUGGCAC